UUAAUGCUUAUAUUUUGUAACGAAAAAUUGUAGAAUACGUAUACGCGUAAGGUGGGCUAUGCUGUCAUCCCAACUUUUGAAUGCCUAUAAAUAAAGAAGCCCUUCACCCACUUCUCUUCAUCAAAUCCCUAACAAACAUUUCAAAAAAAAAAACAACAAAAAGAGGUGAUUACACAAAAAAAAUGGCAGGAUUGAUAAAAAAGAUUGAGGAGACUCUCCACAUAGGUGACCACAAGGGUAAGCACCAAGGGGAUCACAAGGGCAAACAUGAAGGAGACCACCACAAGGCCGGUGAACACAAUAAAGACCACAAGAAGGGUGAGCACAAAGAAGGACUCGUGGACAAGAUAAAGGAAAAGAUCCAUGGAGAUAAGCAUGUUGAUGGAGAUAAGCAUGUUGAUGGAGAUAAGAAGAAGAAGAAGGAAAAGAAGAAGCACGAGCAUGAGUCUGGCCAUGAAUGUGGUCAUAGCAGCAGCAGUGACAGUGAUUAAAUCUCAUUCUAUUCAAUAUUUAGUUUACUGAAGUGUCAACAUAUCCUAGCUCACCUUUGUUGGAGAACUUGGAAGAAGAAAUCUUUUUUUUUUCUUUUUUUGUGUAAAAGUUAAUUAUCAAGUUUGAUGUUUUUCAUGUUGUGAUGUAUCAUCCUAUCGUGCAUGCAACCCUCAUAUGCAGGGAGUGAAUGUUAAUAAUAUAUGUGUUUUAUGAAUUAAA
Molecule: long non-coding RNA, 711 nt
Organism: Manihot esculenta (cassava)
Lineage: Eukaryota; Viridiplantae; Streptophyta; Magnoliopsida; Malpighiales; Euphorbiaceae
Exons: 2
Source: RefSeq, a predicted model, not a curated record